This 411-nucleotide long non-coding RNA is filed under the name Gossypium raimondii (Peruvian cotton). RNAcentral's name for it is "long non-coding RNA (GRAI_LNC000772)". The record is from RNAcentral. Lineage: Eukaryota; Viridiplantae; Streptophyta; Magnoliopsida; Malvales; Malvaceae.
CUGGUCUGGUGGUUAGGUGACGUGCUAAUAUGCUGGUGGUCUUGAGUUCAACUACAUGUACAUGCAAGGGAGUUAUUUUUUUUUUUUGUUAUUUGUGUCGUGUGAGAGUUUGAAGGGAAGUAAAAUACUGAAGUGUUUGAGUGAAGCUUGAAUUCGGUUGUUGAGGGAAUGUGGUGGACGGUUUUUGGGGAGUUUGAGAGAUAGUGGGACUGUGGUGGACUAUUUUUAGGAGAAAAAUAAGGGAUUAGGGUGGUUCUCGGAUAUUCUUUCAAUCUUUUCUUUUUAUUUUUUUUCCAAAAAAAAUCUAUAUGUUUUUCCUUCCACUCUCCCUUCCAAAUUCUCCUCUACCAUUUUUCUUUCUUUUUGUGUUAGCAAAUCCCUUUUUCUUCCUUUUAUUGUUUUGACCAAGAC